Small nuclear RNA from Loxodonta africana (African savanna elephant), 107 nucleotides. The record is from Ensembl. Lineage: Eukaryota; Metazoa; Chordata; Mammalia; Proboscidea; Elephantidae.
GUGCUUGCUUUGGCAGCACAUAUACUAAAAUUGGAAUGAUACAGAGAAGAUUAGCACAGCCCCUGCACAAGGAUGACAUGCAAAUUCGUGAAGUGUUCCAUAUUUUG